Molecule: ribosomal RNA, 524 nt
Filed under: uncultured bacterium
Lineage: Bacteria
Description: partial 16S ribosomal RNA
Rfam family: Bacterial small subunit ribosomal RNA
Source: RNAcentral
GACGAACGCUGGCGGCGUGCCUAAUACAUGCAAGUCGAACGAAGCUGUUUUAACUGGUGCUUGCACCGACUUAAACAACUGAGUGGCGAACGGGUGAGUAACACGUGGGUAACCUGCCCCAAAGCGGGGGAUAACAUUUGGAAACAGAUGCUAAUACCGCAUAACCACAGAAACCACAUGGUUUCUGUGUCAAAGAUGGUUUCGGCUAUCACUUUGGGAUGGACCCGCGGCGUAUUAGUUAGUUGGUAAGGUAAUGGCUUACCAAGGCAAUGAUACGUAGCCGAACUGAGAGGUUGAUUGGCCACAUUGGGACUGAGACACGGCCCAAACUCCUACGGGAGGCAGCAGUAGGGAAUCUUCCACAAUGGACGAAAGUCUGAUGGAGCAACGCCGCGUGAGUGAAGAAGGUUUUCGGAUCGUAAAACUCUGUUGUCGGAGAAGAACGUGUGCGAGAGUAACUGCUCGUGCAGUGACGGUAUCUGGCCAGAAAGCCACGGCUAACUACGUGCCAGCAGCCGCGGUAA